RNAcentral lists this ribosomal RNA (737 nucleotides) under Dinophysis acuta. RNAcentral's name for it is "partial 24S ribosomal RNA". It matches the Rfam family "Eukaryotic large subunit ribosomal RNA", at positions 20 to 670 of the family's 3401-position model. The record is from RNAcentral. Lineage: Eukaryota; Dinophyceae; Dinophysales; Dinophysaceae.
AUCACCUGCUGAAUUUAAGCAUAUAAGUAAGCGGAGGACAAGAAACUAAACAGGAUCCCCAUAGUAAUGGCGAAUGAACCGGGAUAAACUCAGCAUGGAAAUUGGGGCCUUUGGCUUUGACUUGUAAUCUGGUGAGGCAUUGCCAACAGAGGCGCAUAUGUAAGUCUCUUGGAAAAGAGCAUCAACGAAGGUGAGAGUCCUGAUUGUCAUGUGCAGCCCCCCUGUGCACGGUGUGCCUUCUAAGAGUCACGUUCCUUGGGAUUGGAGCGCAAAUUGGGUGGUAACUUUCAUCUGAAGUUAAACAAUGGUUUGGGACCGAUAGGAAACAAGUACCAUGAGGGAAAGGUGAAAAGGACUUUGGAAAGAGAGUUAAAAGUGCCUGAAAUUGCUGAAGGGGAAGCGAAUGGAACCAGUAGUGCUGGGUGAGAUUGUCACAUGCCACAAGGAUUGGUUGCUGCCACAACGCAAGUGUGAUGGCGAUGUGUGAAUUGCUAGUGUGUGGUGUGUCUUACCUAGUGGGUCAUUGUGGGUUUAUGCAUUAAGAUAAGUCAAAGCAAGCGGGAGCAAGUUUACGAGUUUGUGAAUGUGUGUUGUUAUGCUUGUGCGUAAGCUUUAGUGUUUGUCUGGCUGCAGGGCUGUCCAUCCUCAAGCAGGACUUGUGGUUGCGAUGAGCAUAACCUUCUGCACAGAUMUUGACGAAAUGGUUUCAUUCGACCCGUCUUGAAACACGGACCAAG